RNAcentral lists this ribosomal RNA (868 nucleotides) under uncultured archaeon. RNAcentral describes it as "bacterial SSU rRNA". It matches the Rfam family "Archaeal small subunit ribosomal RNA", at positions 1 to 878 of the family's 1478-position model. The record is from RNAcentral.
CUCCGGUUGAUCCUGCCGGACCCGACUGCUAUCAGAGUGGGACUAAGCCAUGCGAGUCAACGCAGCAAUGCGUGGCAUACGGCUCAGUAACACGUAGUCAACAUGCCCAGGGGACGUGGAUAACCUCGGGAAACUGAGGAUAAACCGCGAUAGGCCAAGAUUUCUGGAAUGGAUAAUGGCUGAAAUCUAUAUGGCCCCUGGAUUGGACUGCGGCCGAUCAGGCUGUUGGUGAGGUAAUGGCCCACCAAACCUGUAACCGGUACGGGCUCUGAGAGGAGGAGCCCGGAGAUGGGCACUGAGACAAGGGCCCAGGCCCUAUGGGGCGCAGCAGGCGCGAAACCUCUGCAAUAGGCGAAAGCUUGACAGGGUUACUCUGAGUGAUGUCCGUUAAGGGCAUCUUUUGGCACUUCUAAAAAUAGUGUAGAAUAAGGGGUGGGCAAGUCUGGUGUCAGCCGCCGCGGUAAUACCAGCACCCCGAGUGGUCGGGACGAUUAUUGGGCCUAAAGCAUCCGUAGCCGGUUCUGCAAGUCUUCCGUUAAAUCCACCUGCUCAACAGAUGGGCUGCGGAGGAUACUACAGGGCUAGGAGGCGGGAGAGGCAAGCGGUACUCAGUGGGUAGGGGUAAAAUCCUCUGAUCCACUGAAGACCACCAGUGGCGAAGGCGGCUUGCCAGAACGCGCUCGACGGUGAGGGAUGAAAGCUGGGGGAGCAAACCGGAUUAGAUACCCGGGUAGUCCCAGCUGUAAACGAUGCAGACUCGGUGAUGAGUUGGCUUAUUGCUAACUCAGUGCCGCAGGGAAGCCGUUAAGUUUGCCGCCUGGGGAGUACGGUCGCAAGACUGAAACUUAAAGGAAUUGGCGGGGGAGCA